Molecule: long non-coding RNA, 463 nt
Filed under: Vulpes vulpes (red fox)
Lineage: Eukaryota; Metazoa; Chordata; Mammalia; Carnivora; Canidae
Description: lncRNA (ENSVVUG00000001573.1)
Source: RNAcentral
CUUACUUUCCCCUCUGUUCUGUAUGCUGUCUGAUCCCCUGAUUAUCCCUUCUAGUAGAACAGCAGAGAAGUGUGUGGACUUGGAGUCCCAGACCAGGAGCUGGUAGAGAAGAACCUAGUGUUCCAGUGUGCUAGACAAUUUCCUGGAGCAAGACUAACAAGAUCAAGGCCCCAUCAUUGCGAUACUUUGGCAGGAAAAUGGGAACAAGGGGCUGAUGACCUACAGAACUUUCUGGAAGUCAGGAUGGAAUGGGGAAAACUCCUCAGACAAAACAGGACUUCUCUAAGAUGGGCCUCAAGGGAUAGUACAAGGCAUGUAACUGCUGAAGGAAUGACAUUCCAACUGUUAAACCUCUUCCUCCAUGAUAAGUCAAAGCAACUUCUCUACUUUUAGGCUAGUUUCUAUAACUCACCGGAACUAUUCCAUAACAUGCUUCUGUUCAGAUCAAUGAACUCACUUGAGC